Molecule: ribosomal RNA, 253 nt
Filed under: uncultured bacterium
Lineage: Bacteria
Description: partial 16S ribosomal RNA
Rfam family: Bacterial small subunit ribosomal RNA
Source: RNAcentral
UACGUAGGGUGCAAGCGUUAAUCGGAAUUAUUGGGCGUAAAGAGCUUGUAGGCGGUUUGUCGCGUCUGCCGUGAAAAUUCGAGGCUCAACCUCGAACUUGCGGUGGGUACGGGCAGACUAGAGUGUGGUAGGGGAGACUGGAAUUCCUGGUGUAGCGGUGAAAUGCGCAGAUAUCAGGAGGAACACCGAUGGCGAAGGCAGGUCUCUGGGCCACUACUGACGCUGAGAAGCGAAAGCAUGGGGAGCGAACAGG